ACUACCUUGGAAGCAAUCCAGUCCCUCCUUGCAGAUCUUCAUCCCCUGAUGUAGGACCAGUUCCUCUUUUGUUCCUUCAGCCCUAGGGCUUCGUGUGUGGAGGAACUGUGGUCAGCCAACUUCCUGUUCCUGCCCCCAUGCUUCCCCUGCCUGUUGCUGUGCCUGCUCUAUCAUGAUGAACUCUAUCUCUCUGGAAUGGGAUUGAUGCCAUAGGCACACACCACCACUCCAAACUUCUGGAAAAAAAAAAACAGAAACAAAAUAAAAUAAGAUCCAUGAGAUGGCUUGACACCAUGCCAGCUACUAGGAACAGCUACAAGAACAGCCGGUUCAGGCUUGAUUCCCAGCAACCACAUAGCAGCACACAACUGUCUAUAAUUACAAUUCCAAGGAACUUGAUACCAUCUUCUGGUCUCCAUGGACACUUGGCAUGUAUGUGGCUCACUGAUGUGGAUUAAGUCCUUGGCUCUACUCUGAGAACAGCCAUAAAAGUUCUUGGCUGCUUCAAGAAACAAUAUCAAUGACCUCUCAUUACCUUCUGCAUUAAACACAAGCCAAUGUUGACUGCAUAGAGACCUAAUAGAAGCCAGAAGUAUCUGGCUUAUUAUAUGCUACUAAAUAUAUUUUCAGCUUCUGCUCACCUGACUCUGCAUUCUGGGGAUUCUGAACUUGAUUUACAUGAAGAGAAAUAACCCUGCUCAAAAAGAAACCCACGUUGCUGGCUUUGAAAGUUCAAGUGAACAUUGUUAUGAAAAACGGGAUUUCUUCUGAGCUAAAAAAAUGCUUCUUUAAAGUGAAGCCAUCAAAUGCAUUUUGUGACCUGAGACAUUUCUAAGAAUAAGUAGAUGUCAUAAAUUUGCAGAUUUGAUCAUUUUGCAGCAUAUUCAUGUCGUGCGAUUGGGAAGAACAGCUGCCUCCCUCAGAAUAUCUACUAUAUGCAAGCUCUUUGCUUCUUCCUGUUCUCUCAGCCAUAUGAGGAGAAACGGAGUGGUUCUUACAUUCUUCAGAUAAAGAACUGAGUGUUACAAAGCUUGAACCGCCCAUGUACCAUGUCACAGGACAGCAGCAGGGCCACUCAGGCGACACUGGGGUUGUAGUAAUUAUAUCAAAAAUACAAAGCAAUUGAUCACAGAGGAUUUUAGAAGCCUUUGUCUCAAAAACCAACACAUUUACCUCUCUAACUGAAGUGGGUAUAAAAAGCGAGGUCUUGUACCUGGUAACUCCAGACACAUUGGAUUUGACAAAAGGAGUCAUUUGCUACAUGUGGGCAUGUCUGAUUCAUAACUGCUGUAUGCAGCUCUGAGUUGUUAGAAGUCAUGGCUGUUUAAAUAUUGAGAACCCUACCUGCUAUCCUGUUCUCUUAAAAGAAUAUCUAGAACAGGAACUUUGGGGAAGCAGAGCUUAAGAGAAGAUGGAAACUGACUCAUAGGAGCUGAGACUUAAAGUGAAUUUCUUUUCUGAAGGUAAAAAACAUUCAUUUAAGCUUAUAGGUAGGCCCAGAAAUUGCCAACUUCAGUUUCCGGGCAACAUUUGUCUUCCUCAUUGCCUCAACCUCCUCCAUAGGUAGCACUCAUCUCCUUAGAGCUGUGAGUAACAUUUCAGUCUUUCAUCAAUAACAAGUUGAAUCAAAGUUAUCGAAAACAUGAAGAAGCAGCAUAUAAAAAGAAAUCUUCCUUUGCUGGUCUUCUCAUGUGAAAUCUCGUGUUCUCUUCCCUUGUACCUGCCAAGAGAUGUUUACUCUACCCGAAAUGCUUCAGAGGUCCUAAGUGAUUGCCAUUCUGGAAGGAGACAUGAAGAAACUACUGUUCAUGACCAUUUUCAUUAGCACAUUCUUCUUGGGAGAUAGUAUUCUGUAGUCUGCAGUCUGAUUUUUCUCCAGUCUCAGCAGCCUCGUGGCACGGGGCCACUGUAAACUGGAAUGCCUCUCUGUUUUCUCAACCUUGGUGAGAGUUGAUGUGUUUAAUUGUUCUUGCAUUGCUUAAAGCAUGGCCAAAUCCAUUGGCAUUUGACACAAGGCUGCCUGUUCUGCCACGUGCUUGCAGAGCAGUGAUCUCAUGAAAAAUUUCUUCUAACCUGUGUAGGACUCUUAGCUGAGUGCUGUUGAUUCCUAAGGGAUGAUAUCACAACUGCCUUGGCAAAGCAAGAAUGAGAAGCUGGACAAAGGGCAUUUCAGCGACACAAGCAAUCACUUGGCGCAAACUAACUUAGAAUCUCAGAGAGUGAGCAGAGGGGUAGCAGUCUGUGAUUUAUUUCCAUGACCUGUAUGCUGCAGAAACUGAACACCUUUUAGAAACGGAAGAGGGAUGUAUUCAUUAAAGUCCCUAUGGUGCCUCAUUCAUGACCUAGACAAUGCCUUUUCUGGCCUCUUCCUCUGCAAAGGGCUAGUCAUAAUGGGUUCUGUAAUACUCACAACACCCUAGGUCCCAUUGUGACUCCCAAUUCCCUCGUUACAGAACCAAGUAUAGUCCAUGUUCAUUGGCACUUUUCUAGAUUAUAUGCAUACUGUUGCAUGUGGGACCCUGCUCAUUGUCAUUGUUUGCACAGUAGACACUUAACUAUUGGCAGACUCAUGGCAAACCCUUACUAAGGGAUUCUGUACAUUCUAACCUAGAGGGUCAUCAGGAACCAAUAGUCCUUUCUCCAUUCUAAUCUGGCAAUGCCAAUCCCAGUUUCUUUCUGUUUUACCUCAUGUAGUUUCCUGCAAAGAGUCACCAUACCAUUCAUAGCCCAGGGACUAAUGUCUUUCCUUUAAUUCUCUUUCAGAACUCUAUUUGCUCAACAUGGGCUAACAUUGUACUCUAUAAUAUUAAACUAUUGUGAAACUCUUC
RNAcentral lists this long non-coding RNA (2828 nucleotides) under Mus musculus (house mouse). RNAcentral's name for it is "predicted gene, 38572". The record is from RNAcentral. Lineage: Eukaryota; Metazoa; Chordata; Mammalia; Rodentia; Muridae.